AAAAUAAAUAAAAGAAAUAAGAAAAGUCUUUAGCAGAAAACAAAAUUCAGAUAAACCAUAAGUAAUAUGAAAAAAGAGAAAUGAAUAGAGGAUUUGGUGCACAGAAUAUACAACUCUCUCAUAUGAGGGUGGGGUUCACACAUGUGGAGUCCAUGUGGGAUCCAGUCUCGUAUGAGAGGGUUGUGCAUUUUAUGCACCAAAUUCUCCGUGCACCUAGUUUAUGAGAAAAAGUAACUGCUAGGAUUUUAUCCAAAUAAAUUCUUGUAUUUUGACAAUCCUGUUCUUGACAAAACAAUUGUUGUUUAUUGAUUAUUAAUUCAAGCAAUUGGUUAUAUUUUAUUGAAUUUUUAUCUUGAAGAAAAUACGUUUACAGAUUUGAUGUGAGGCGGAUUUGAUGCUGUCUAAACUUUGUGUAUAAAUCAGAGUUGAAAAAGUGGUGGUUUGUCUUUGGAUUUCAGAGUUGCAUCUUUAGAGAUUGAUCAAAGCAAAAAAAGGGGGCAUAGGUUGAAGACAUGAAGGAAAUCAGGACAAAAGUCUGCAGAACUGGCUGAGUUAUCAUCAGUAUCGCGCCGCGAGGUGUAGACAUCAUGCCCCUGAAUAAGCCGCGAUGCCCCCCAUGUCCAAAACCAACUCACAGCACUUUGCGUCCAAGCAGCGACCAAAAUGAACUCCCAAGUACUUUCCUCUACAGCCCGCAAAGGCAUAAACGCACCUGCGAAAGACACAGUCGCGCCAGCGAUCAUGUGUCUCGUGCCUGCGAUGGUGUUAUCUCUAUAUAAGUCAAGCUUGUUCUGUUUUGUGAUCAGCUCUUCCUAUUCCAAAGUUCGAGAGACAUUUCUGAGAGAGCGUUGUAGUGGGGUUAUUCUGUAUCCUUGUUUACUUGCUGAUUAAUUUGGUCUUUAGAUCUUUCAAGUCAUCAUCAAGAUUGUAAAAACAUCUAAACAUUUUGUGAGUAUUCCUUCUUGGUAGAUUCCAAGAUCUUGAGGUGUAAGCUCUAAUGGAUUCUAGAGCAUUCUUGUCGUGGACUUGACACCGUUGUUCUGGAUUUAAUAGUGGAGGCGAAUACCCACAAGACGAAGUACAAAAGUGGAGCUACUUGAAGGUCUCGAGCAAACUAGCAUGUCUGGAUUGGUUUUUGUAAGAAAUUUCUCAUACUACUCUCUUCAUAGUAAAUUAUUCUUGUGGCCGAGGGAUCGUGAUUUUUUAUCACACGUUGAUAGAUACCAACUGUGAUUUUUUCACGUAAAAA
Long non-coding RNA from Camellia sinensis, 1249 nucleotides. RefSeq lists it as uncharacterized. The record is from RefSeq and is a predicted model, not a curated record. NCBI's taxonomy places the organism in Eukaryota, Viridiplantae, Streptophyta, Magnoliopsida, Ericales, Theaceae.